CUUGUGCAGGGCUUGGUCUGAAGUGUUUAAAUUGUGUUUCCCACGUUUAAUUUGCUUGCUGAAGGGCUUAAAUAGUCGUAAUGCAAAGUUUGGCAGUCUCGCCCUGUGUGUGGUGUGUGUUGGCGUGGCAUGAGGGCUCUGCGAAUGAUAUUUUUGAGAAUUUAGAUAUUGAAUGGGGCUGCUAAAUAAUGUGCCAUGAAAAGCAUUGAAGGAAUUCUGCUCUGCUACUAAUGCAUUAGAAAUUAUUGCCAGCAGUGCUUCUAUCCAGCGGUGCUUGUGGGAGUUAAGUAGUCAUUACUGUUGCUAGGACUAGGGCUGUUUGCUGAUCAGAGCUGUCUCAUGAGGAAUAGUUCUUCCUGGAUCAUUCUCCUCCUGCAAGAGAUGAAAUUGAAUAGGUUUUAUUUGAUUGGCAGUUCAGAAGACUUACUAAGCACGCUCUCGAACCGGCUUUCCUCACUGCACGCAUGGCCC
Long non-coding RNA from Pygocentrus nattereri (red-bellied piranha), 471 nucleotides. RefSeq lists it as uncharacterized. The record is from RefSeq and is a predicted model, not a curated record. The transcript has 3 exons. NCBI's taxonomy places the organism in Eukaryota, Metazoa, Chordata, Actinopteri, Characiformes, Serrasalmidae.